UUUCCGGAUGCUUUUUAUCCUAUUUUCUUAUCAAACAACCAUUUUACCCGUAGAACGGAGUUAAGUACAAAUUUAGGAAUUUAGUACUUUAAAUUUUCAACAACAAAAUUUUACACUUUCAUUUACCUGGAUUUUUUUCUACGCUUCGAAGCCGCCUGAAUCAAACUUAGCCAACACCUCGCAUGGCGUAUUCACGAUGUGGAGGGAUUGACAAUAUACAAUCAAAGUUAGCAAUAUACAGCAAGUUGUCAGCCAGAUGAAAAGAACAAUGCAGUUCAAAAGUCAAAAUGUGGAUAAGCUGCGGUACAAGGUCCUACUUUUGCAGAUUUUCAUAUUUUGCAUGAAUGAAUUUGAAGUUUAUAUCAUGGAGGGCAGAGAAUUUUCCUGCUUCUGAAGGAUAAAUGUAAAACAUCUUGUUCGAAGGAUUGAAAUUCAUCACUUAGAAUAAAAGGAGAAAACACAGAAACAAGACCAAAAUAAAUUCAAAGACAAAAGUCAGAUCAGUUAUUAUUUUCAUCACU
Molecule: long non-coding RNA, 521 nt
Organism: Mytilus californianus (California mussel)
Lineage: Eukaryota; Metazoa; Mollusca; Bivalvia; Mytilida; Mytilidae
Exons: 3
Source: RefSeq, a predicted model, not a curated record